AGACUGUGUAAUUUAUAAAGGAAAGAGGUUUAAUUGACUCACAGUUCAGCAUGACUGGAGAAGCCUCAGGAAACUUACAAUCCUGAUAGAAGGAGAAGCAAAUAUGUCCUUCUUCACACGGCGGCAGGAAGAAAUGCCAAGGAAAAGGGGGAAAAAGCCCCUUAUAAAACCAUCAUAUCUCAUGAGGAUUCAUUCUCUAUCAUGAGAACAACAUGAGGGUGCUGAACCAGAGCCAUUUUCCAAAACCCUCCUGGCCUCCCGGACCUGUGACGCUUCCUGCAGUUGAUGUGCAAAGUCUCGCUACAAAACCAGCCCCAGGAACACAGAGCCCCAUGUUUCCUCCCUGAAGGACCCAGGGCCUCUAUUCUUCAGUGUCCUCUAUACACAACUCCUUUUGGGGUAUGACAGCUUCACUGCCGGAGGCAACACCAUCUGUAUUCGUGGGAAAGGAGGUGGCUGGGUAGAAGCAGAGGUGUGACUUACAGAUGGGGCAUGCACGGAGGAAGAGUAACAACUGGACAAACACAAGGAAAGAGCAAUGGGGCAAGGACUGCAGGAUGUUGGUAUGGACAAGGUUGAAGCAAUGGACUGCAGAGUGUAAACUCCUAAAAACCACCCAUCUUUUUAUUGUCUCUGUGGGUUUGCCUUUUCCAAAAUGUCCCUUUGUUACCAUUACAUAUCAUGCAGCCUUUUCACCCUGGCUUCUUUCACUUAUCAAUACGCACUUGGUUCCUGCAUAUCUUUCCAUGGCUUCAUACCUCAUUUCUUUUUACUAGUGGCUAAUAUUCCAUUGUAUGGCUAUAUCACAGUUUCUUUAUCUAUUCACCUAUAAAUAAUAUCUUGGUUGCUUCUGGGUUUUGGUGAUUAUGAAUAAAGAUGUUACAAAUAUUUGCCUG
Molecule: long non-coding RNA, 896 nt
Filed under: Homo sapiens (human)
Lineage: Eukaryota; Metazoa; Chordata; Mammalia; Primates; Hominidae
Description: HSALNT0116417
Source: RNAcentral